CCAGCAGGCUGGACGGCCGCUGCGGGUUUCGGCCCGGAGAGGAAAGUCCGGACUCCAUCGGGCAGGGUGCCAGGUAACGCCUGGGCGGCGUAAGCCGACGGAAAGUGCAACAGAAACAUACCGCCCUUCCGCUUGCCGGGAGGGUAAGGGUGAAAUGGUGCGGUAAGAGCGCACCGGCGUCCUGGCAACAGGGCGGACGGGCAAACCCCACCCGGAGCAAGGCCGAAUAGGGGAGAAGCGUGCCCGACGCGCUAUCACUCCCGGGUUGGCUGCUUGAGCGCCGUAGCGAUGCGGCGCCUAGAGAAAUGGCCGUCAGUCUUCCGCAGGGAAGGCUACAGAAUCCGGCUUACAGGCCCGCUGGACCA
This 365-nucleotide RNase P RNA is filed under the name Dehalococcoidia bacterium. Its description in RNAcentral is "RNase P RNA component class A". It matches the Rfam family "Bacterial RNase P class A". Rfam says of the family: Ribonuclease P (RNase P) is a ubiquitous endoribonuclease, found in archaea, bacteria and eukarya as well as chloroplasts and mitochondria. Its best characterised activity is the generation of mature 5'-ends of tRNAs by cleaving the 5'-leader elements of precursor-tRNAs. Cellular RNase Ps are ribonucleoproteins. Lineage: Bacteria; Bacillati; Chloroflexota; Dehalococcoidia. The record is from RNAcentral.